AAAAGACGGUCCCAGUUCGAAUUGAAGGCUGAAAUUCGCCUUCAUGAAGUCGGAAUUGCUAGUAAUGGCAGGUCAGCAUACUGCCGUGAAUACGUUCCCGGGCCUUGUACACACCGCCCGUCACACCAUGAGAGUUGGAGAUACCCGAAGCCUGUGAGCUAACUUUUAGAGGCAGCAGUCGAAGGUAGAAUCAAUGAUUGGGGUGAAGUCGUAACAAGGUACC
Molecule: ribosomal RNA, 223 nt
Filed under: uncultured bacterium
Lineage: Bacteria
Description: partial 16S ribosomal RNA
Rfam family: Bacterial small subunit ribosomal RNA
Source: RNAcentral